Non-coding RNA from Cladophialophora bantiana CBS 173.52, 107 nucleotides. NCBI's taxonomy places the organism in Eukaryota, Fungi, Ascomycota, Eurotiomycetes, Chaetothyriales, Herpotrichiellaceae. The record is from the annotation of a RefSeq genome assembly.
GCCGCUAUGGCGCAGGGGUAACGCGUCGCACUUGUAGUGCCGAGGACUCCAAUGUCUUGACGGUACAAUACAUGCGAAGAUCACAAGUUCGAAUCUUGUUGGUGGCA